CAAAAAGUGCUACAUCUAGGU
This 21-nucleotide non-coding RNA is filed under the name Arabidopsis thaliana (thale cress). The record is from RNAcentral. Lineage: Eukaryota; Viridiplantae; Streptophyta; Magnoliopsida; Brassicales; Brassicaceae.